CAGAUUGUGGCAGUAUGAGGUGAGUGGCUGCAAUAUUAACCAAUCAGCAGAGGGGGCGACAUAUUUAAGCAGGCGUAGAGCCAGCUUUGGGAAGUUCAUCUGGUCGACAGGUCACCUGACUUCCGGCUGUUGCGGGUAUUAUCGCCACUGCGCGUGAAACAAGCUCUCGCACCAAGACUGCUGUGGGAAAACUCACGUAUCGUGCCUGCCUCUCGCGCCGAGCCGACUUCCGGGUGUGGCAAACCCCCGUCAUUCGGGGGGAUUUAUCUGACAGCAUUUUAACGACACAGCCACCGCUUAGAAGACAGACAGCGGUCCGCGGUGGCGUGUGGAUCAGGAGCUUCACAGCCAUUCCCCACGCCGACAGACCGCUGCUCGGCUGAUUGAUGCUGCUUUGCUUAUUUUAAUUUGUUGGAUCCUUUUUAAGUUAUUGGGGACGCAUUUUAUUGUUUGCUGUUCCACUGGAAGCCUGGGACGAGGCCCGCAACGAAGACUGAUCUUGGCGGGUGGCUUCCUGUGUGGAUAUUUUAUAUUGCAACAGUUUUAUGUUUGUUUAUUUAUUGUCUUUUAUUUUGGCGUGCCCAAACUUCAUGGUUCUUAUACUAAUUGUAUUUUAUUCUUUCUUUUAGUGGCCGGAAACCGUAGGAGUUGGUGGUGCCUUAACGGUGUGGGUCCCUUUUCCUGGUUUGCGCCUCCCCUCCUUUGCAUGCUGAGCACGUCUGCCUGUGCUGUGUGGCCAAAGUGCUGUGUGAAGAGUGGUUAUCUUGCACGUGUGUCUGGGGUGGUCUUAGUUUGGCUCCCUUCACUUUGUUUGGCCCACCUUCCUCCCGGUAAGCUUCCGCCAUCUUUUAUUAUUGGACCGUGAGUUUCUUUUAGUCUUGUUUUGUUUUAUUUAUUUUUAAACAAUAAAAAUUGUUUAAUUAUUUGGA
Melanotaenia boesemani (Boeseman's rainbowfish) is the source of this 929-nucleotide long non-coding RNA. RefSeq lists it as uncharacterized. The transcript has 2 exons. NCBI's taxonomy places the organism in Eukaryota, Metazoa, Chordata, Actinopteri, Atheriniformes, Melanotaeniidae. The record is from RefSeq and is a predicted model, not a curated record.